This 644-nucleotide long non-coding RNA is filed under the name Homo sapiens (human). Its description in RNAcentral is "non-protein coding lnc-ATP6V0E2-2:9". Lineage: Eukaryota; Metazoa; Chordata; Mammalia; Primates; Hominidae. The record is from RNAcentral.
UGUGACCUCAUACAAAGGCUUGGCUAAUACUGCAAUGUUUGGGAUCCACAGUCUACGAAACCCCACAGCUCCUAAGAAUUCUCUCACCUGCCUUCUGCCCUUAAGCUCCGGUAGAUUGCAAAUAACCUGCUUUCUUUCUGUUCCCGAGCUGCGUUCGGACCCAUGUCUUAUUGUAAAUCCCACGCAAGCUGCGUUCGGACCCGUCUGAUCGUAAAUCCCAUGUAAGGUACCUGCCGUCGGAAGAUUUGAACGUUCUACUUGGACACCUAAAACCCACAGUCCUCCAGACAGAAAGACAACAGGUACAAAGCCCUAAGGAUUAUAAAGGUAUGCUGCUUACCAUCAUCUUAGUGACCAAGGCAGCGAAGCUGUUUCUGUACCUUGGAACAGUCUUCCCUGACAAGCCAGAGAACAGUGAUAAAGCCACCAGCCUUGGGAUCAGGACUGAAAAGGCAAGAGUGAUGGAGAUUUCUCCUGCGCUAAGCCAAGAGAAGGUUUCAGCACUUCAGACAGCUCCCACCGAAGUAGCCGCGCUCCCAGCUGCUUGCAGAUGUUGAAAAGGAAAGCCUCGGUUUGUCUUGAGGUUGUCAGCAGGUGCAAGACACGUAAUAAAAUGCAAUGUGUUCCUAAUUCAUUGCAUAUCC